CUACGGGGUGCACCAGUGAGGAAUAUUGCACAAUGGGGGAAACCCUGAUGCAGCAACGCCGCGUGGAGGAUGACGCAUUUCGGUGUGUAAACUCCUUUUAUAUGUCAAGAAAAUGACGGUAGCAUAUGAAUAAGCACCGGCUAACUCCGUGCCAGCAGCCGCGGUAAUACGGAGGGUGCGGGCGUUACUCGGAAUCACUGGGCGUAAAGGACGCGUAGGCUGGUUGGUAAGUCAGGUGUGAAAUCCUACAGCUUAACUGUAGAACUGCACUUGAAACUACCAACAUAGAGUAUGGGAGGGGGAGAUGGAAUUAGUGGUGUAGGGGUAAGAUCCGUAGAUAUCACUAGGAAUACCGAAAGCGAAGGCGAUCUCCUGGAACAUAACUGACGCUAAGGCGUGAAAGCGUGGGGAGCAAACAGGAUUAGAUACCCGUGUAGUC
Molecule: ribosomal RNA, 439 nt
Filed under: uncultured bacterium
Lineage: Bacteria
Description: partial 16S ribosomal RNA
Rfam family: Bacterial small subunit ribosomal RNA
Source: RNAcentral